UGGAUCCAGACUUUGAUCCUGGCUCAGGAUGAACGCUAGCUACAGGCUUAACACAUGCAAGUCGAGGGGAAACGAUAUUGGAAGCUUGCUUCCGAUAGGCGUCGACCGGCGCACGGGUGAGUAACGCGUAUCCAACCUGCCCACCACUUGGGAAUAACCUUGCGAAAGUAAGACUAAUACCCAAUGAUAUCUCAAGAAGACAUCUGAAUGAGAUUAAAGAUUUAUCGGUGAUGGAUGGGGAUGCGUCUGAUUAGCUUGUUGGCGGGGUAACGGCCCACCAAGGCGACGAUCAGUAGGGGUUCUGAGAGGAAGGUCCCCCACAUUGGAACUGAAACACGGUCCAAACUCCUACGGGAGGCAGCAGUGAGGAAUAUUGGUCAAUGGGCGAGAGCCUGAACCAGCCAAGUAGCGUGCAGGAUGACGGCCCUAUGGGUUGUAAACUGCUUUUAUAAGGGAAUAAAGUGAGCCUCGUGAGGCUUUUUGCAUGUACCUUAUGAAUAAGGACCGGCUAAUUCCGUGCCAGCAGCCGCGGUAAUACGGAAGGUCCGGGCGUUAUCCGGAUUUAUUGGGUUUAAAGGGAGCGUAGGCCGGAGAUUAAGCGUGUUGUGAAAUGUAGAUGCUCAACAUCUGCACUGCAGCGCGAACUGGUUUCCUUGAGUACGCACAAAGUGGGCGGAAUUCGUGGUGUAGCGGUGAAAUGCUUAGAUAUCACGAAGAACUCCGAUUGCGAAGGCAGCUCACUGGAGCGCAACUGACGCUGAAGCUCGAAAGUGCGGGUAUCGAACAGGAUUAGAUACCCUGGUAGUCCGCACGGUAAACGAUGGAUGCCCGCUGUUGGUCUGAAUAGGUCAGCGGUCAAGCGAAAGCAUUAAGCAUCCCACCUGGGGAGUACGCCGGCAACGGUGCAACUCAAAGGAAUUGACGGA
RNAcentral lists this ribosomal RNA (926 nucleotides) under uncultured organism. RNAcentral's name for it is "bacterial SSU rRNA". It matches the Rfam family "Bacterial small subunit ribosomal RNA", at positions 1 to 917 of the family's 1533-position model. The record is from RNAcentral.